This 510-nucleotide ribosomal RNA is filed under the name uncultured bacterium. RNAcentral's name for it is "partial 16S ribosomal RNA". It matches the Rfam family "Bacterial small subunit ribosomal RNA", at positions 28 to 507 of the family's 1533-position model. The record is from RNAcentral.
GACGAACGCUGGCGGCGUGCUUAACACAUGCAAGUCGAACGAAGAGCGAUGGAAGCUUGCUUCUAUCACUCUUAGUGGCGAACGGGUGAGUAACGCGUAAUCAACCUGCCCUUCAGAGGGGGACAACAGUUGGAAACGACUGCUAAUACCGCAUACGAUCUAAUCUCGGCAUCGAGGAUAGAUGAAAGGUGGCCUCUACAUGUAAGCUAUCACUGAAGGAGGGGAUUGCGUCUGAUUAGCUAGUUGGAGGGGUAACGGCCCACCAAGGCGAUGAUCAGUAGCCGGUCUGAGAGGAUGAACGGCCACAUUGGGACUGAGACACGGCCCAGACUCCUACGGGAGGCAGCAGUGGGGAAUCUUCCGCAAUAGACGAAAGUCUGACGGAGCAACGCCGCGGGAGUGAUGACGGCCUUCGGGUUGUAAAGCUCUGUUAAUCGGGACGAAAGGCCUUCUUGCGAAUAGUGAGAAGGAUUGACGGUACCGGAAUAGAAAGCCACGGCUAACUACGUG